GGCCCUUUGGUUAAGACUCCAGGCUGAUAACCUGGCGGUCACAGGUUCCAGCCCGG
RNAcentral lists this transfer RNA (56 nucleotides) under Oxyrrhis marina. The record is from RNAcentral. Lineage: Eukaryota; Dinophyceae; Oxyrrhinales; Oxyrrhinaceae.